Molecule: ribosomal RNA, 253 nt
Filed under: uncultured bacterium
Lineage: Bacteria
Description: partial 16S ribosomal RNA
Rfam family: Bacterial small subunit ribosomal RNA
Source: RNAcentral
UACGGAGGGUGCAAGCGUUAUCCGGAUUCACUGGGUUUAAAGGGUGUGUAGGCGGGUAUUUAAGUCAGUGGUGAAAUCUCCAGGCUCAACCUGGAAACUGCCAUUGAUACUAUUUAUCUUGAAUAUCGUUGAGGUUGGCGGAAUAUAUCAUGUAGCGGCGAAAUGCAUAGAUAUGAUAUAGAACACCGAUUGCGAAGGCAGCUAACUAAGCGAUUAUUGACGCUGAGGCACGAAAGCGUGGGGAUCAAACAGG